AGAGUUUGAUCAUGGCUCAGGGUGAACGCUAGCUACAGGCUUAACACAUGCAAGUCGAGGGGAAACGACAUCGAAAGCUUGCUUUUGAUGGGCGUCGACCGGCGCACGGGUGAGUAACGCGUAUCCAACCCGCCCACCACUUGGGGAUAACCUUGCGAAAGUAAGACUAAUACCCAAUGAUAUCUCUAGAAGACAUCUGAAAGAGAUUAAAGAUUCAUCGGUGAUGGACGGGGAUGCGUCUGAUUAGCUUGUUGGCGGGGUAACGGCCCACCAAGGCAACGAUCAGUAGGGGUUCUGAGAGGAAGGUCCCCCACAUUGGAACUGAGACACGGUCCAAACUCCUACGGGAGGCANCA
This 356-nucleotide ribosomal RNA is filed under the name uncultured bacterium. RNAcentral describes it as "bacterial SSU rRNA". It matches the Rfam family "Bacterial small subunit ribosomal RNA", at positions 8 to 353 of the family's 1533-position model. The record is from RNAcentral.